GAGCGCUGGAAAUGUUCGACUUUGAACUUCUUCUGGAGAGACCAAUGUGUGUGAUGUGGUCUCACUUUGAACGAAUGCUGAACUGGACCAAUGGGAGCAACAUCAUUAUCAAGAAAUUGGACAAGUCCAUUCAGAGUGUUGCCUACCUUCUCAGCAUUCAGGAGGAUCAUGUCUGCAAGGUGGUGGAAUCAAAGGGAUAUAGCUACAUCUAAUUUGAGUCAUCGUGGGCAGCGCCAUCGGCUAUCAAGUGGCACGACGGGAUGCUGUUGAACGACUGCCAAGUGAUGGCAAGUCUGAGCAGGUCCUUUAACCAUGCACCUCUGAGAUGCAAAUGUGUGGAAACAUGCACUGUCCAAAAAGGCUCCACUUUUAUUUUAAGAGAAAAGAAAGUGGAAAUAGGGUUAAGUUUAUCAGGAAAAUAGCAGAUGAUACAGUUCACAAAGCCAUCAUCAGGACGUUUCCUAACCAGAAGCCGUGGGUGAAUAAAACCAUCAGUGACUCUCUGAAAUCCUACUCCACUGCCUAGGACGUCUAUAAAGCUGCAUCCUACAAUGAGCGCAGAGCAGUAAAAGAGGUGAAGCGGUGCUAUGGGAAGAAACUGGAGACACAGUUCCAACACAGGGCCCUAGGAGCCUAUGGCAGGGACUGAAAAUGAUCACGGACUACAAAUCACCAUCCUACAGAGCAGUAAAUAUGGACACUUCCCUGGCAGUUGAGCUGAACACCUGCUAUGCUCCUUUCGAGGCUGCAGAUAACGGUGCUAACAGGACUAGCAGCACACAUGCUGAGUGAGCAGGAGAGGAAAAUGCGUUCAUGAUCUCGGAGCACGAAACAAGGAAGGCGUUCAGUCGAGUGAACACCAGGAAGAGAGCAGGACCAGACGGCAUCACAGGCCGGGUCCUGAAGACCUUCGCUGACCAGCUAACACCUGUGUUCACCGAGCUAUUCAUCCUCUUUCUGGAGCAGUCUGUAAUCCCCACAUGCUUCAAACAAUCCUUCAUCGUUCCCUUCCUUAAAAAAAUCCCAGCCUGCAUGCCUAAAUAAAUAUCGCCCUGUAGCUUUGACCUCCGUCGUAAUGAAGUGCUUUGAAAGACUAGUCAGAGACUUCAUCAUCUCCUCACUGCCUGAUACACUAAAUCCCCUUCAGUUCACCUACCGUCCCAACCGCUCCACCGAGGACGCCAUUGCAUACGUUCACCUCAUCGCCCUAAGCCACCUGGACAGCAAAAAUGGGGAAUAUAAGAAAAGAUGUUUUUAAACUACAGUUCAGCAUUUAAUACCAUAAUUCCAUCCACACUCACCUCAAAAUUUGAAGGACUGGGACUACCGUAUGUGUCACUGGCUAUCCAACUUCCUGUCAGACAGACCACAAGCAUUUCGGGUGGGAAAACAUGUCUCAUCCCUGCCUUUAAAAUGUCCAUUCCACCUCAUUUAUUAUCCUAAAUUAGAUGCACCUGUUUGAGGUCGUUAGCUGCAUAAAGUCCACCUGUCCACCCCAUACAAUCAGUAAGAAUCCAACUACUAACAUGGCCAAGACCAAAGAGCUGUCCAAAGACACUAGAGACAAAAUUGUACACCUCCACAAGGCUGGAAAGGGCUACGGGGAAAUUGCCAAGCAGCUUGGUGAAAAAAGGUCCACUGUUGGAGCAAGCAUUAGAAAAUGGAAGAAGCUAAACAUGACUGUCAAUCUCACUCAGACUGGGGCUCCAUGCAAGAUCUCACCUCGUGAGGUCUCAAUGAUCCCAAGAAAGGUGAGAUAUCAGCCCAGAACUACACGGGAGGAGCUGGUCAAUGACCUGAAAAGAGCUGGGACCACCGUUUCCAAGGAUACUGUUGGUAAUACACUAAGACGUCAUGUUUUGAAAUCGUGCAUGGCACGGAAGGUUCCCCUGCUUAAACCAGCACAUGUCCAGGCCUGUCUUAAGUUUGCCAAUGACCAUUUGGAUGAUCCAGAGGAGUCAUGGGAGAAAGUCAUGUGGUCAGAUGAGACCAAAAUAGAACUUUUUGGUCAUAAUUCCACUAAACGUGUUCGGAGGAAGAAGAAUGAUGAGUACCAUCCCAAGAACACCAUCCCUACUGUGAAGUAUGGGGGUGGUAGCAUCAUGCUUUGGGGGUGUUUUUCUGCACAUGGGACAGGGUGACUGCACUGUAUUAUGGAGAGGAUGAACGGGGCCAUGUAUUGCGAGAUUUUGGGGAACAACCUCCUUCGCUCAGUUAGAGCAUUGAAGAUGGGUCGAGGCUGGGUCUUCUAACAUGACAAUGACCCGAAGCACACAGCCACAAUAACCAAGAAGUGGCUCUGUAAGAAGCAUAUCAAGGUUCUGGCGUGGCCUAGCCAGUCUCCAGACCUAAACCCAAUAGAGAAUCUUUGGAGAGAGCUCAAACUCCGUGUU
Long non-coding RNA from Tachysurus fulvidraco (yellow catfish), 2393 nucleotides. RefSeq lists it as uncharacterized. The transcript has 3 exons. Lineage: Eukaryota; Metazoa; Chordata; Actinopteri; Siluriformes; Bagridae. The record is from RefSeq and is a predicted model, not a curated record.